GCCGGCGACCGGCGCAAGGUGCGUAACGCGUGAGCAACAUGCCCGUAUCAGGGGGAUAAUCCAUGGAAACGUGGUCUAAUACCCCAUAGUAAUUAUGUAAGGCAUCUUAUAUAAUUUAAAGCUUUGGUGGAUACGGAUUGGCUCGCGUGACAUUAGCUAGAUGGUAAGGUAACGGCUUACCAUGGCUACGAUGUCUAGGGGUUCUGAGAGGAAGGCCCCCCACACUGGAACUGAGACACGGUCCAGACUCCUACGGGAGGCAGCAGUGAGGAAUAUUGGACAAUGGAUGGAAAUCUGAUCCAGCCAUGCCGCGUGCAGGAAAGACGGCCCUAUGGGUUGUAAACUGCUUUUGUAUGGGAGCAAUAAGGGCUACGCGUAGUCCGAUGAGAGUACCAUACGAAUAAGCACCGGCUAACUCCGUGCCAGCAGCCGC
RNAcentral lists this ribosomal RNA (433 nucleotides) under uncultured bacterium. Its description in RNAcentral is "bacterial SSU rRNA". It matches the Rfam family "Bacterial small subunit ribosomal RNA", at positions 87 to 518 of the family's 1533-position model. The record is from RNAcentral.